This 497-nucleotide ribosomal RNA is filed under the name uncultured bacterium. RNAcentral describes it as "partial 16S ribosomal RNA". It matches the Rfam family "Bacterial small subunit ribosomal RNA", at positions 28 to 507 of the family's 1533-position model. The record is from RNAcentral.
GAUGAACGCUGGCGGCGUGCCUAAUACAUGCAAGUCGAGCGAACAGAUGAGGAGCUUGCUCCUCUGACGUUAGCGGCGGACGGGUGAGUAACACGUGGAUAACCUACCUAUAAGACUGGGAUAACUUCGGGAAACCGGAGCUAAUACCAGAUAAUAUAUUGAACCGCAUGGUUCAAUAGUGAAAGACGGUUUUGCUGUCACUUAUAGAUGGAUCCGCGCCGCAUUAGCUAGUUGGUAAGGUAACGGCUUACCAAGGCAACGAUGCGUAGCCGACCUGAGAGGGUGAACGGCCACACUGGAACUGAGACACGGUCCAGACUCCUACGGGAGGCAGCAGUAGGGAAUCUUCCGCAAAGGGCGAAAGCCUGACGGAGCAACGCCGCGUGAGUGAUGAAGGUCUUCGGAUCGUAAAACUCUGUUAUUAGGGAAGAACAAAUGUGUAAGUAACUAUGCACGUCUUGACGGUACCUAAUCAGAAAGCCACGGCUAACUACGUG